UCCCAGCGGUCCAAGUCGCAGCCACGUUUAUUGGGUCUAAGACAUCCGUAGCUUGCUUUACAAGUCUCUUGUGAAAUCUGGCCUCUUAAGGGUCGGGCGUGCAAGAGAUACUGUUUAGCUUGGGACCGGGAGACGUAAUGAGUAUUAAUGGGGUAGCGGUAAAAUGCGUUGAUCCUAUUGAGACUAACAACAGCGAAGGCACGUUACGAGAACGGAUCUGACAGUGAGGGAUGAAGGCUAGGGGC
RNAcentral lists this ribosomal RNA (245 nucleotides) under uncultured archaeon. RNAcentral's name for it is "partial 16S ribosomal RNA". It matches the Rfam family "Archaeal small subunit ribosomal RNA", at positions 474 to 718 of the family's 1478-position model. The record is from RNAcentral.